CUAAGCAUAUCAAUAAGCGGAGGAAAAGAAACUAACAAAGGGGAUUCCCCUAGUAACUGCGAGUGAAGCGGGAAGAGCUCAAAUUUGAAAUCUGGCAGCUCUUGGCUGUCCGAGUUGUAGUCUAGAGAAGUGUUACCUGUGCUGGACCAUGUACAAGUCUUCUGGAAUGGAGUAUCAUAGAGGGUGAGAAUCCCGUCUUUGACAUGGACUGCCUGUACAUUAUGGUGCGCUCUCAAAGAGUCGAGUUGUUUGGGAAUGCAGCUCAAAAUGGGUGGUAAAUGCCAUCUAAAGCUAAAUAUUGGCGAGAGACCGAUAGCGAACAAGUACCGUGAGGGAAAGAUGAAAAGAACUUUGGAAAGAGAGUUAAACAGUACGUGAAAUUGCUGAAAGGGAAACGCUUGAAGUCAGUCACGUUGGCUGGAAAUCAGCUAGCUUUUGCUUGGUGUAUUUUCUAGUCGACGGGUCAGCAUCAAUUUUGACCACUGGAUAAAGUUUUCGGAAAUGUGGCAACUUUGGCUGUGUUAUAGGCCGGAUUCGCAUACAGUGGUUGGGAUUGAGGAACUCAGCACGCCUGCAAAGGCCAGGUCUUGACCAUGUUCGUGCUUAGGAUGCUGGCAUAAUGGCUUUAAUCGACCCGUCUUGAAACACGGACCAAGGAGUCUAACAUGCCUGCGAGUGUUUGGGUGGAAAACCCAUGCGCGUAAUGAAAGUGAAAGUUGAGAUCCCUUCAGGGGGACCAUUGACGCCCGGACCAGACCUUCUGUGACGGAUCCGCGGUAGAGCAUGUAUGUUGGGACCCGAAAGAUGGUGAACUAUGCCUGAAUAGGGUGAAGCCAGAGGAAACUCUGGUGGAGGCUCGUAGCGAUUCUGACGUGCAAAUCGAUCGUCAAAUUUGGGUAUAGGGGCGAAAGACUAAUCGAACCAUCUAGUAGCUGGUUC
RNAcentral lists this ribosomal RNA (939 nucleotides) under Inocybe sp. RNAcentral describes it as "partial large subunit ribosomal RNA". It matches the Rfam family "Eukaryotic large subunit ribosomal RNA", at positions 34 to 957 of the family's 3401-position model. Lineage: Eukaryota; Fungi; Basidiomycota; Agaricomycetes; Agaricales; Inocybaceae. The record is from RNAcentral.